GACGAACGCUGGCGGCGUGCCUAAUACAUGCAAGUUGAGCGCUGAAGGUUGGUACUUGUACCCACUGGAUGAGCAGCGAACGGGUGAGUAACGCGUGGGGAAUCUGCCUUUGAGCGGGGGACAACAUUUGGAAACGAAUGCUAAUACCGCAUAAAAACUUUAAACACAAGUUUUAAGUUCGAAAGAUGCAAUUGCAUCACUCAAAGAUGAUCCCGCGUUGUAUUAGCUAGUUGGUGAGGUAAAGGCUCACCAAGGCGAUGAUACAUAGCCGACCUGAGAGGGUGAUCGGCCACAUUGGGACUGAGACACGGCCCAAACGCCUACGGGAGGCAGCAGUAGGGAAUCUUCGGCAAUGGACGAAAGUCUGACCGAGCAACGCCGCGUGAGUGAAGAAGGUUGUCGGAUCGUAAAACUCUGUUGGUAGAGAAGGACGUUGGUGAGAGUGGAAAGCUCAUCAAGUGACGGUAACUACCCAGAAAGGGACGGCUAACUACGUG
RNAcentral lists this ribosomal RNA (497 nucleotides) under uncultured bacterium. RNAcentral's name for it is "partial 16S ribosomal RNA". It matches the Rfam family "Bacterial small subunit ribosomal RNA", at positions 28 to 507 of the family's 1533-position model. The record is from RNAcentral.